RNAcentral lists this small RNA (127 nucleotides) under Marmota monax (woodchuck). Lineage: Eukaryota; Metazoa; Chordata; Mammalia; Rodentia; Sciuridae. The record is from RNAcentral.
GCUGGGCACAGUGGCCCACACCUGUAAUCCCAGUUGCUCUGGAGGCUGAGGCAGGAGGAUCUUGAGUUCAAAGCCAGCCUCAGCAAUCUAGAGAGGCCCUAAGCCACUCAGUGAGACCCUGUCUCUA